AUGAACUUGUGUGCUAUCCUAUUGAAGACGGUGAACAUGACAAGCGAGGAAGACAUGGCCGACGACAUCUUGAGUAUUAUACAAGCAAUUGAUCCAUUGUACAGGAUCAACGGUCAUUUACCACAAUACUAUGCUGAAAUGAUAGACAAACUGAAGAAACCACCAAGAACACUGAAUGUUGAGGAACUAAGAAAAUUCCACUUGAAGGUGUUGAAAAGACCUGCUUUCGCUACACCUGAACUGAGGUCAUACGGUGUUCAAGAGUUCUACACCAACACCUUGGACCUGGAAUUUGACACUCCUGAAUGGAGGGCCUUUGACAGUUCUGCCCCAGUGCAUUUAGAGGACUGGCAGCACAUCACCAAGGUUGAUGAACUUCUGUUAAAAAAGUUAAUAGAGAGCAGUGGUAUGGAGGACAAAUUUGGGAAGCAGUGCCAUUACAUGCGGCAUCUUGUGGUGCACUCACCUGAGGACAAGGAGAAGAAGUAUCUAUCUGAUAACAAAAAGAAGGCCCAUGAUCCUUUGGCCGCGUCGGCGAGUCACUCUGGAGCUCGCCCCCGCCUCCCUCCUCAGCCCACAAGAAAGGACGCUCUCUUUCCUGCAAUUAUGUCUCAAGCUAAAGCGAAGAAGACAACCCCCAGCAGCUCCUCCGCAGGUCCCCACCCUAAGCCCAAGGUGUUGUUGCUGAUGCCGGAGAGAGACAUGCUGGCCCAUUAUUAUUUCAGAGAAUUUAUGCCUGCAUUUGUUGACCUCUUGUACAAAGAGAAGGAUAAAUAA
This 777-nucleotide ribosomal RNA is filed under the name Triticum aestivum (bread wheat). RNAcentral describes it as "partial small subunit ribosomal RNA". The record is from RNAcentral. Lineage: Eukaryota; Viridiplantae; Streptophyta; Magnoliopsida; Poales; Poaceae.